RNAcentral lists this ribosomal RNA (556 nucleotides) under uncultured fungus. RNAcentral describes it as "eukaryotic LSU rRNA". The stretch from base 152 to 305 matches the Rfam family "5.8S ribosomal RNA". Lineage: Eukaryota; Fungi. The record is from RNAcentral.
AGUGAAUAUUAGGACAUCGCUUCGGCGAGUUCGACCCUCCACUUUUCAACUCUGUGCAUUUAUUGGCGGAAUCGAGCGAGCAAUCGUGAAGUUCUGCGUCUCAUUUUUAAACACUAGUCAAAGUAUGUAACGAAAUAUCGAAAUAAAAAAAAACUUUCAACAACGGAUCUCUUGGCUCUCGCAUCGAUGAAGAACGCAGCGAAAUGUGAUAAGUAAUGUGAAUUGCAGAAUUCAGUGAAUCAUCGAAUCUUUGAACGCACCUUGCGCUCCCUGGUAUUCCGGGGAGCAUGUCUGUUUGAGUGUCAUGAACUCUUCAACCCACCAGUUUCUUGUAGACUGAUUGGUGUUUGGAUUUUGAGCGCUGCUGGUCUUCGGAUCUAGCUCGUUCGUAAUAUAUUAGCAUCUCUAAUUCGACUUCGGAUUGACUCAGUGUAAUAGACUAUUCGCUGAGGACACACCUAGUGUGGCCGAACGUUGAUCUCAGUAGAAGCUUCCAACUAUUGUAGUCAAUUUUAGAUUAGACCUCAGAUCAGGCAGGAUUACCCGCUGAACUUAA